This 575-nucleotide ribosomal RNA is filed under the name uncultured delta proteobacterium. RNAcentral's name for it is "bacterial SSU rRNA". It matches the Rfam family "Bacterial small subunit ribosomal RNA", at positions 97 to 650 of the family's 1533-position model. Lineage: Bacteria; Deltaproteobacteria. The record is from RNAcentral.
GGCGCACGGGUGAGUAACGCGUAGGUAAUCUACCCUUAUGACUGGGAUAACAUCGGGAAACUGGUGCUAAUACCGGAUAUACUUCUUCACCGCGGGGUGAAGGAGGAAAGGUGGCCUCUUGGUCAAAGCUACCGUAUAGGGAUGAGCCUGCGUACCAUUAGCUAGUAGGCGGGGUAACGGCCCACCUAGGCAACGAUGGUUAGCGGGUCUGAGAGGAUGAUCCGCCACACUGGAACUGGAACACGGACCAGACUCCUACGGGAGGCAGCAGUGAGGAAUAUUGCGCAAUGGGGGAAACCCUGACGCAGCGACGCCGCGUGAGUGAGGAAGGCCUUCGGGUCGUAAAGCUCUGUCAGAAGGGAAGAAGUGUUAUACGGUUAAUACCCGUAUAAUUUGACGGUACCUUCAGAGGAAGCACCGGCUAACUCCGUGCCAGCAGCCGCGGUAAUACGGAGGGUGCUAGCGUUGUUCGGAAUUACUGGGCGUAAAGGGCGCGUAGGCGGCUUUAUAAGUCAGAUGUGAAAGUCCACGGCUCAACUGUGGAAGUGCAUUUGAAACUGUGAAGCUUGAGUAUC